CUCAACCCACUGAGCAAGGCCAGGGAUCAAACCUACAUCCUCACAGAGACAAGGUGCGGGCUUAAAAAGAAAAAAAGAAAAGAAGCCUGGAGCUUGCUAGCUCCACGUGCCUCUGAGGAACUUCCCUCGAGGAAGAUGCUGGGUAUCCUGACAUUAAACUAUUCACCCACUUCCCUGGGGAAAGUGCUGAAGAGGAGGCAUUAUUCUGCUCAGUCAGUGCUUUGCCCCUUCACCGAGAUCAACAACCUGGAACAUCAAGUUUCUGCAUAACUUUGGAGGAGAAUGGAGCAGCAGGAGUCUGAAGCCACAGGCCUGAGCAGUGAAGUCAUCUGAGGCCAAGUCUGCGCCUUCAACAGAUAGAUACCCCCUAAACCCCUACUAUGUGCUGGGCCCCGUGCUGAGGGCUGGGGACACACAACUAUUUCAGACAUGCUCCCUGACUACCAGGAGCUCACAGGUGAGUGGAAGAGAAAGACAGAGAACAGAUUAGGAUCGACAAGUGUUUUCAGUCCUAGAGCCAAGGGGAAGCGGGUGAAAGAAGAAUUUGUUCCAGCUGGAGUGGAAAGAGAAGUCGCUGGAACAGAGCCUGGAAAAUACACAAGCAUUCUCCAGCAAAGGAAAUGCUGCACAUGGCCAAGACCCCAGAGGCUACAAGCAGCCUGCCAGCUUGUUGUUGGGUAAAUCCAGGGCACAGGGCAUGAGGAGGCAGAAGACUGAAGGACGAGGCUGGAGAGGCAGGUCAGACCCAGAUCCUACCCAGCUUUGCAGGCCAGGCUGAGGAGGGGGAGCUUUACCCUGCAGACCAAGGAGGUGCUGAAAGGUUGGAAGGGACUGAGGCAUUGCCAGCAAGGCCACUCCAGUUCUAAUAUAGACAUUAGUGAGGGGAGGUGGAAGGGCCUGGAAGGUGGGAGAGCGGUGAGGAGGGCUGAAAAGAGAUGGUGGAGGCUCACGCUAGGGCAGUGGCCAUCGAGGAUCAGCUGGAUGUGACUCUAACAGGAGCUAGGACAGGACAGGACAAUCAGCAAAGCCAGAGAUCCAUCCCGUCCAAUGUUCCAGACUCUAGCCCCAAGCUUCUGUUUUCCGUCCCAGAUUUGGAUGGAAAAGAAGUACCGGAGACUGUUUCAGAAAGAAAAGAAAGACAGAUUUGCACUCAGCUCUGUGUGGUGUUGACUCCAAGAAGUGGGAUGGCAAGGGGUAGGGUGUCUGGGAGGGAGGAGGGCCCUGCCUUGACUUCACUCAGUAAGUUUGUUCAGCAGAUGUCUGUCCUGGGCCUGCUAAGCGAGGAACCAGCAGACCUAGUUAAUAUCCCAGGUAUUCUGGUCACCCCCUCCACGGCCACAGGCAAGCGACAAUUUCUGAGCCAGUUCCUCCAUCAGGAAAAUGAAGAUGGGCAUCCCUUCCAUACAGAGUUGUUUUAAAGUUUAGAAAUAAUAUAUGUAAGAAUAACUGUGGCACAGAUAGGUGUUGGGUAAAUGGCAGUCCUUGUUAUUGAUUUAGUCUCUGAACAUGUACAGUGAGGUUGAACCCAAACCAGUCCCAGGCUCUAAAAAUUUCUGUGUUUCAGUGCUUCCCUCUACUGGCCAAAAGGGGCAGAUUCCACUGGGGAGAGAAUCACGGGGUGCUAAAACCAGACAGAGCUCCCCGUCUUCUCAUGCAGAGUCAGAAUCCUCCUACAUCAAGGGUUCCCCACUGGGAGAACAGCAGCAUCUCUCCAGAUGUAGACCCCUCCAGAGGCAGCAGAUGUGAAGCAGCAAAUAGCCCGCCAGCCACUUAGCAGCAGCAUGAAGCUGGAUGCAUCACUGCACUUCUCUGAGCCUGUUUCCCUGACUAUAAAAUGGAAUGAUGAUCCCUGCCUUUAUUCACAGAGUUGUUGUGACUUUUGGGGAAAGAGAUUACAUCUGAAUAAGGUCUGUGGACAGACAUGCUCUGAGCUUCCCUAAAAUAUUAAUCAUCAAGCACUUUCUGGUGUCCCUUCUCCAUCAUUCUGUGCACUGGGGACCCCAGGAAGAUUGUAAGAAGCUGGCCCUGGAGUUCCUGUCGUGGCUCAGCCGAAACGAAUCUGACUAGCAUCCGUGAGGACUCAGGUUCCAUCCCUGG
Sus scrofa (pig) is the source of this 2097-nucleotide non-coding RNA. The record is from RefSeq and is a predicted model, not a curated record. NCBI's taxonomy places the organism in Eukaryota, Metazoa, Chordata, Mammalia, Artiodactyla, Suidae.